ACUCCUACGGGAGGCAGCAGUGGGGAAUAUUGCACAAUGGGCGGAAGCCUGAUGCAGCAACGCCGCGUGAGGGACGACGGCCUUCGGGUUGUAAACCUCUUUUAGCAAGGAAGAAGCGAAAGUGACGGUACUUGCAGAAAAAGCGCCGGCUAACUACGUGCCAGCAGCCGCGGUAAUACGUAGGGCGCAAGCGUUAUCCGGAA
RNAcentral lists this ribosomal RNA (203 nucleotides) under uncultured bacterium. RNAcentral's name for it is "partial 16S ribosomal RNA". It matches the Rfam family "Bacterial small subunit ribosomal RNA", at positions 335 to 550 of the family's 1533-position model. The record is from RNAcentral.